RNAcentral lists this unclassified non-coding RNA (233 nucleotides) under uncultured fungus. RNAcentral's name for it is "sequence contains ITS1". The record is from RNAcentral. Lineage: Eukaryota; Fungi.
GUAUUUCAUUGCGUUAAACGCGACAUGCAUUCCAUGAGACUUUGUUGUAGUGUGUGUGUAAAGACGCAGAACCACAGCAGGGGGACGGAGCCCACCCAGGCCAUAGAACUACAGAGGGUGCACAGGUGUGAAUGGACGUGUAAACAGAGCGUGCACGUGCCCCCAUACAGGGACCAGCAACAACUCUUGUUGACGAUUCGGUAAUGAUCCUUCCGCAGGUUCACCUACGGAAA